GAUGAACGCUGGCGGCGUGCCUAAUACAUGCAAGUCGAGCGAACAGAUAAGGAGCUUGCUCCUUUGACGUUAGCGGCGGACGGGUGAGUAACACGUGGGUAACCUACCUAUAAGACUGGGAUAACUUCGGGAAGCCGGAGCUAAUACCGGAUAACAUUUGGAACCGCAUGGUUCUAAAGUGAAAGAUGGUUUUGCUAUCACUUAUAGAUGGACCCGCGCCGUAUUAGCUAGUUGGUAAGGUAACGGCUUACCAAGGCAACGAUACGUAGCCGACCUGAGAGGGUGAUCGGCCACACUGGAACUGAGACACGGUCCAGACUCCUACGGGAGGCAGCAGUAGGGAAUCUUCCGCAAUGGGCGAAAGCCUGACGGAGCAACGCCGCGUGAGUGAUGAAGGGUUUCGGCUCGUAAAACUCUGUUAUUAGGGAAGAACAAACGUGUAAGUAACUGUGCACGUCUUGACGGCACCUAAUCAGAAAGCCACGGCUAACUACGUG
RNAcentral lists this ribosomal RNA (497 nucleotides) under uncultured bacterium. RNAcentral describes it as "partial 16S ribosomal RNA". It matches the Rfam family "Bacterial small subunit ribosomal RNA", at positions 28 to 507 of the family's 1533-position model. The record is from RNAcentral.